UUUGCGCGUUCUACUUGGUCAGCCAUCCAAAUAGCGUCAAAUUUGUAUCCACCCACAAGUGUUGCCAAUAUUUUUGGUCAUUGGCUGGACGGUAUUUCAAAUGCAUACAAAACGCUAAUAAGGGUGGGAGCGUAUGCCUUAUUAUGGUCGCUUUGGCUAUGUAGAAAUAAUGUUAUUUUUAAUGACAAAACUAUUUCUCCUUUGCAGGUUAUUUUUCGUUGUACGCACUCGCUUCGUACGUGGUGUACGCUACAACGAGCGGAGUACCAACCGCUAUUCAAGGCGGUGUGUACGCUGUUGGAGCAGGUGGCUACGGAGGUUUUUACCCAACAUGGAUAG
RNAcentral lists this ribosomal RNA (339 nucleotides) under Triticum aestivum (bread wheat). RNAcentral's name for it is "partial small subunit ribosomal RNA". Lineage: Eukaryota; Viridiplantae; Streptophyta; Magnoliopsida; Poales; Poaceae. The record is from RNAcentral.